This 468-nucleotide ribosomal RNA is filed under the name uncultured bacterium. RNAcentral's name for it is "partial 16S ribosomal RNA". It matches the Rfam family "Bacterial small subunit ribosomal RNA", at positions 28 to 507 of the family's 1533-position model. The record is from RNAcentral.
GACGAACGCUGGCGGCGUGCUUAGCACAUGCAAGUCGAACGGAAAGGCCCUGCUUUUGUGGGGUGCUCGAGUGGCGAACGGGUGAGUAACACGUGAGUAACCUGCCCUUGACUUUGGGAUAACUUCAGGAAACUGGGGCUAAUACCGGAUAGGAGCUCCUUCUGCAUGGUGGGGGUUGGAAAGUUUCGGCGGUUGGGGAUGGACUCGCGGCUUAUCAGCUUGUUGGUGGGGUAGUGGCUUACCAAGGCUUUGACGGGUAGCCGGCCUGAGAGGGUGACCGGCCACAUUGGGACUGAGAUACGGCCCAGACUCCUACGGGAGGCAGCAGUGGGGAAUAUUGCACAAUGGGCGGAAGCCUGAUGCAGCAACGCCGCGUGCGGGAUGACGGCCUUCGGGUUGUAAACCGCUUUCGCCUGUGACGAAGCGUGAGUGACGGUAAUGGGUAAAGAAGCACCGGCUAACUACGUG